GGACUACUCGGGUAUCUAAUCCCGUUCGCUCCCCUGGCUUUCGCACCUGAGCGUCAGGUACUCCCCAGGACACUGCCUUCGCCUUUGGUGUUCCUCCGGAUCUCUACGCAUUUCACCACUCCACCCGGAAUUCCGUGUCCCUCGUGAGCCCUCAAGUCGUGCAGUCUUCAAAGGCCCUCCUCAGUUAAGCCGAGGAUUGUCACUCCGAACUUACACGACCGCCUGCGUGCGCUUUACGCCCAGUAACUCCGGACAACGCUCGCCCCCUACGUAUUACCGCGGCGGCUGGCAC
This 292-nucleotide ribosomal RNA is filed under the name uncultured bacterium. Its description in RNAcentral is "partial 16S ribosomal RNA". The record is from RNAcentral.